This 491-nucleotide ribosomal RNA is filed under the name uncultured bacterium. RNAcentral describes it as "partial 16S ribosomal RNA". It matches the Rfam family "Bacterial small subunit ribosomal RNA", at positions 29 to 507 of the family's 1533-position model. The record is from RNAcentral.
GUGAACGCUGGCGGUAGGCCUAACACAUGCAAGUCGAACGGCAGCACAGUAAGAGCUUGCUCUUACAGGUGGCGAGUGGCGGACGGGUGAGGAAUACAUCGGAAUCUACUUUUUCGUGGGGGAUAACGUAGGGAAACUUACGCUAAUACCGCAUACGACCUACGGGUGAAAGCAGGGGAUCUUCGGACCUUGCGCGAUUGGAUGAGCCGAUGUCGGAUUAGCUAGUUGGCGGGGUAAAGGCCCACCAAGGCGACGAUCCGUAGCUGGUCUGAGAGGAUGAUCAGCCACACUGGAACUGAGACACGGUCCAGACUCCUACGGGAGGCAGAAGUGGGGAAUAUUGGACAAUGGGCGCAAGCCUGAUCCAGCCAUACCGCGUGGGUGAAGAAGGCCUUCGGGUUGUAAAGCCCUUUUGUUGGGAAAGAAAAGCAGCAGGUUAAUACCCCGCUGUUCUGACGGUACCCAAAGAAUAAGCACCGGCUAACUUCGUG